RNAcentral lists this ribosomal RNA (275 nucleotides) under uncultured prokaryote. Its description in RNAcentral is "partial 16S ribosomal RNA". It matches the Rfam family "Bacterial small subunit ribosomal RNA", at positions 524 to 798 of the family's 1533-position model. The record is from RNAcentral.
UACGUAGGGGGCAAGCGUUAUCCGGAUUUACUGGGUGUAAAGGGAGCGCAGACGGCAGUGCAAGUCUGAUGUGAAAGCCCGGGGCUCAACCCCGGAACUGCAUUGGAAACUGUACAGCUUGAGUGUCGGAGAGGUAAGCGGAAUUCCUAGUGUAGCGGUGAAAUGCGUAGAUAUUAGGAGGAACACCGGUGGCGAAGGCGGCUUACUGGACGAUUACUGACGUUGAGGCUCGAAAGCGUGGGGAGCAAACAGGAUUAGAUACCCCUGUAGUCCCU